This 484-nucleotide ribosomal RNA is filed under the name uncultured bacterium. RNAcentral describes it as "partial 16S ribosomal RNA". It matches the Rfam family "Bacterial small subunit ribosomal RNA", at positions 28 to 507 of the family's 1533-position model. The record is from RNAcentral.
AUUGAACGCUGGCGGCAUGCUUUACACAUGCAAGUCGAACGGCAGCGCGGGCUUCGGCCUGGCGGCGAGUGGCGAACGGGUGAGUAAUGCAUCGGAACGUGCCCAGUAGUGGGGGAUAGCCCGGCGAAAGCCGGAUUAAUACCGCAUACGACCUGAGGGUGAAAGCGGGGGACCGAAAGGCCUCGCGCUAUUGGAGCGGCCGAUGUCGGAUUAGCUAGUUGGUGGGGUAAAGGCUUACCAAGGCGACGAUCCGUAGCUGGUCUGAGAGGACGGCCAGCCACACUGUGACUGAGACACGGCCCAGACUCCUACGGGAGGCAGCAGUGGGGAAUUUUGGACAAUGGGGGCAACCCUGAUCCAGCCAUGCCGCGUGCGGGAAGAAGGCCUUCGGGUUGUAAACCGCUUUUGUUCGGGAAGAAAUCCUCUGGGCUAAUACCCCGUGGGGAUGACGGUACCGGAAGAAUAAGCACCGGCUAACUACGUG